AAUAUUUUUGGUGAGUAUUUUCUAUCCGACCAGUGGCUUCUAUCCGAACAGUGGAAGCUGGACAGCCACGGCUGACUGUUGUUCUGUUGGCGGGCCAGCGCUGCCUCCCACCGGCCACCAUACGAUGACGGCCGCCGGAGACCGAGCACCGGUACCACCGGACAAAAAGUGGAAUCGGCAAGGCCGGGCUAGCGACUGUCUGCAGAUCGGCAGAGAAGAGCUGAGCUGCACCUACGCUGCAGGGCAACUACCGACUGCAGUGGCUUUACCUGUUUUUGUGUGACCAGCGAGGAAUAAAAUGGGCGCGAGACGGAGCAGCGAGACACUCCUCACACAGUCCACACCACGUUCGACAACACCCACUCUGCAACACUCCACUCAACAUGCACAAGUAAGUACCUACGUAAGAAUGACUCAGACCGGACGGUCUGCCCCAGCCAGCUCUCUUGGAGCUGUGCUGUGGGGACAAGGUGACGUGAUGUCUUCUAGGAAGUCCGUUUAACUUGCCGAACUAUUCGGUAUAUGGUUGAACUGUUUGUUUUGUCUUUCGGCUAACCAUUCGGUUAUCUCUUUCGGCUUUUUGUUUGGUGACCGUUGACCGCCGUUGUCCGGUCUCACUGCGCUGUUUGUGUUUCAGCCUGCCCGCCAUCAUGACGCUGACCAGGGAGCCGAUUGGCUCGGCUUGGCGGCAGCAGGCUGUUCUUUCGACACUCUUCCGUCUUCUUCGAUAUCAGCCUGUGCUAAUGCAACGGCUAUUCGUGCAGGACUGAUUUUCGGCCUUGUCUCGUUUAAUGACUCGAUCGCUUCCUUUUGACAUUUUGGUUUCGACCUCAUCUUUUGGCUCAUUUCAAUAUAUCUACUUUUAACUCAUGUUCACGUCUGUAUGGUGGAUGGUGUUGGGAACGAAGGAGGGAAAGGAACCAGAAACACACAUAUAUCGAUCGCGUUUUCAUCAGUAAUACCCCUAGACAGCAUAUAGAGUAAAAGAUUGAAGAAUAUAAUCCCCUAGACAACAGAUAAAUAAUCAGGAUGCAAUGUAGGCUAUACAAAGGGACCACUUUCAAAUUACAUUGGGGGCUCGUCCGGGAUCUCAAACUCUGUUCUGCUCGAACAGGACCCUGAUUAUAUAUGCUUCUGAUUCAUUGCAUGUUCUUGCUUGUAAAGUUUUCAGGUUCUUUGUUGUUCCAGAAUGAUUCGUCGUUGGUGUAACUUGCUGCUCGUGGUUCGUAAACUUUCCGUUUCACCGUGUUCUGAAUUGACUGGUCACAAUUUGUGUAUUUCCAGUUGCCUUUAUUUGAUGGUGAAUGGCUCGAGUUCCAGACUCUACUAGGUUCGUCAGGCCAAUUGUUGGUCCGCAUGCUGCAUGGACAACCUACAUUGGACGCACCGUCGAGGUCGCCAUCUCUUGAAGUUCAUUUGAUUCAGGUUAGUCUUGCUUGCUUCUGUGGGUCUACUUACUUUGCCUUCUGGGUAUACGCUAUUCGGUCGUAUGCCUCGCAAAUUAAUUCGUUCGCAUCGUUGGCAUGACAGCAAAUGGCUACCUAACUUCAUAGGAGGUAUAAAUGAAUGUCCUAAUAUGCGCCAUUGAUUACAUCCAUUCGAUUCCUUAGACUUGAAAAUAUGUUUGGAUGAUACAGGACUUGGUAUUCUUGAACUUUAUUAAGAAGUUGCCCGUAUAAGGUGCUCAUAUAAUGCCGACUUGGUGUUGUUGAGCUGGUCCGUAGGUUUGAUCUGAUAACUUCGACUUGGUGUUAUUGAGAUUUGUCUUGACCUUUAAUGCUCAGAUGUUACUGACUUGGCUUUAGGGAGCUAACACUGACUUCGUUGCCAUGACACGUUCUGAUGAUACCGACUUGGUGUCAUUGAACUUUGGGGUAGUUGCCAUAGGACGUCAGUGACCAGGUGCAUGGCAGCACAGUGGUCAGCUAGCGUAUUCGGGGCAAUAACCAUCCACAGAUAAAACAUCGCGAGUUCGAUCAUCUGAUCGCCAAACCGGAUAUGCGAUUUGAUCAGUGUUUUCAAGAUCGCUGAAGUAUCCCAUGAUCAAGGUUUCCGGAGUUCAGAGGUCCGUUGACAUAACCUUACAUGGCCCUGACACAGUCCGAAGUGUCAUUGUGACUGAGUGGAUUGAUGCCUCGCUGACAUGAUUAGUUAUUCUUUUGUGGUUUUACUUGUUGUUUGGGUUUUAAUUAUUGUUUCAUGGAGUUGUUUCAUGGCUGAGUUGUUGACAAGGUUCAGUGGAACAAAAUCGGUUCAAUGUUUCACAGUUUGAGAUGUCAUUUAUUUGUGAGAGUACAACGUCGUUUACAUCUAUUCAGUUCUUACACAGGAAUUUCAACAUUUCAGAGCAUGUGGCAGGUUUCCGGCAAGUCGAAUUCGGGUGAAGUAAUUCUCUCUGUGUUAGACACUUUGCCCUAGUUGAUAGGUAAAUUUCGUAUUAAUUAGUCAUUAUUGGUUAACAUUGGAUGGCAAUAUACCUUUGCUUCGGUUCAAACAGACAGUCAUCUCAUCAGUCAGUUGAGGGUUGUGAUUUGUGAAGAUAAUCCCAGUCAACAUUGGUGAUACUCCCGUCCAGUUGGGAAGUAUUUGACAGAAUGAUAAACGCAUCUGUUAUUUGGCGGGUGAUGUGCUGGGCCAGAAAUGUGGUUUCCGUUUAUUGAGUAGGUCGUGCCGUCUGCCUACGUCCCUGAGAGAAGGGCGAGUGCUAGGUAGGACGUGCAGCCUACAGACGUCUCUUGGAGGAGGACGUCACCGGACCGUCUGCUCGCGUGGAGCAGGACGGCAGUCGCUGCCCGGACGCGUAGGAGCUGAGGAGAACUGGUGAUAGGGCCUGCCCCACCUAUCUACCAGAGUUGAGCAGCAUGGCAGAGGGUGGUCCUCUGGGGGUCCAUGCCCACCGAACAUACACCGGCCGGGUAUGGGUGGAAUUCUCGGUCAGCUUACGCUCUAGGCAUAAGGGCUGGGCGUGCAGUGACGGGAGCAGCAGGUCACUGGCACAAGCGACAAUCCAUGCUGAGGAGGUGUUCCUAGUAUGUGAAAAACGGAACCAUUUGAGCGUGUAAGGCGGCAAACCCCACCGCAAAUACACUGCUACCGGAGUAUAAAGAGUCGAACACUCCGGCGACUACAAGAGAGAGGCCAGCAGCAAACCCGACUAACAGCUUAUAUGUUUCAGAAGGUGACGUCGAUAGGAAAGGUGUCUUAUUGGGUGAUGACGACUCGAUUGCUCGAAUUUGUUGCACAGGUGCUGCAGGUACAGCAAACCUGACCAGAAGCUUUAUUGUUUCAGAAGAUGACAUCGAUAGGAAAGGUGUCUUAGGAUGAUGACUCGGUUGCUUUGCUUCAUUUGCACAGGUGUUGCAGAAGCAGCAAAACCGAUCGACAGUUUACUUGUUUCAGAAGUUGACUGCAGCGUCGAUAAGAAAGGUGACUCGUUUGCUGUGCUUCGUUGCACAGAUGUUGCAGAAACAGCAAACCCGACAAACGGCUAAUAUGUGAGUACACUUCAGGUGACUGCAGAGGGAAAGACAGUGGUUAAGGGGGAAAGUGGUUUUCGUCUCGUUUUAUCUCCAUUCCAUGGCAGGAGGUAAGACGACUCGAAUCCUUGCUUAGUUGCACUUCGCAAGUCAUAGCAAGUGCAGAACUCUUCAGGAGCCCAGUCCAUGGCUCAUCUUAAAGGUGGAAGAUAUACUUAUACGCUUCAUGUCCUUAUUCAUCGAAAAUGAAUGCGUGGGUCUUGCGGUCGAGAUACCGUGGCAAAGACAAAUAAUAAUUCGGCCCAACAGCAGUCACAACGUGAGCUGACUGAAGCCGAAAGGUUUCGAUUUCAGCGCAGACACCACACCGAGUGGAGGUCCUGAUGGAUUUAUCCGACCCUGUAUGGAGCGCCACCGACUCGUGAGUGACCAGCGACGGUGAUGUCGGGUCACGAACAAAGUAAGGACAACCUUUGAGAUCGAAAGAUCAAAAGCCAACGGGCAUGUGCUCACUUGUUAAAGUAAAGCAGAUGAGUUUGCUACAAUCUACUUCAGAGUAUGCAUGAAGGUCGUGAUAAGGGUCAGUUGGUGCUUGAGGUACAAGUUAUGGUGAAGCAACAAUCUUGUGCAUUGCCUUGAAUCUAGAUCCAGCGACAAUCAAUGGAUCUGUGCAGACCAAAGAUGCGCGGGCAUAGUACCGGCAUAGCCAUAGGACAUGGACAAACUGCUCGUGUGCUGCGCCUCUCAAUGUCCUCAGGUCAUUGGCGCCAUAGCAGCAGAGCGAGUCCUACACAGGUAUCUGAGAUACCAGAAGGUCUACAGGCACAACGAACCUCUCGGCAUGACAGAUUGACUUCAACCCUAACAACUCACCCGAGCCCUUAGGUCCCACAUCUCGAUGCUGACUGCUGCCAGAAGUCUGAGCCGCAUCCUUCUGUUAUGACAGAGGCAAACGAUCACUCGCCCAUUGACUGUAACUUAUCUUCCUCCAUGCGUGGCAAUUCAGAGCAGACGGAUGGACACAUCACGCUAACGCUCGGGAAUUUUAAAGCCCAAGCCCGUAUUGGGAAUUGUUAACAUGAGUACCUUUCAUAUUACAUGGCGUGUUCCUCUGCUAAUCCUUUUCGGUUAGCCCCGAUAUUCCUUAUCCUUGAAACUGUCACAGGUCAGUAGCAAGAUGUGGUUCCCAGAAUAGCAUAAAUGUAAAUAUGCUUUGGUUGCUUUACCAGUAUUUGGCAUCAAGCAGCAGUACCAAUUUGCAGUGCUUGGGUUAUUGAAGCCAUACGAUCUGAUGAAGUUAUGAUCAAUUAAGAUUCAAGCUACUUAGUACUUUGUAUUUUGUACUAAAGUCAUAUUUUUAGGAAGAUACAAAACGGUUUAAGACAGAGGGUUUGUCGCAUUUGACUUAUCAACGAGUCAAACUCAAUUUAGACUGUGAACCAUCUAACUAUUACGUAUGUGUACCCGUUCAUCCCCAAAGGUUACAGUUCUUCGUUCGCUAUAAAAAUGGAAGGGAUGUGAGAAAUAUUUUUGGUGAGUAUUUUCUAUCCGACCAGUGGCUUCUAUCCGAACAGUGGAAGCUGGACAGCCACGGCUGACUGUUGUUCUGUUGGCGGGCCAGCGCUGCCUCCCACCGGCCACCAUACGAUGACGGCCGCCGGAGACCGAGCACCGGUACCACCGGACAAAAAGUGGAAUCGGCAAGGCCGGGCUAGCGACUGUCUGCAGAUCGGCAGAGAAGAGCUGAGCUGCACCUACGCUGCAGGGCAACUACCGACUGCAGUGGCUUUACCUGUUUUUGUGUGACCAGCGAGGAAUAAAAUGGGCGCGAGACGGAGCAGCGAGAGACACUCCUCACACAGUCCACACCACGUUCGACAACACCCACUCUGCAACACUCCACUCAACAUGCACAAGUAAGUACCUACGUAAGAAUGACUCAGACCGGACGGUCUGCCCCAGCCAGCUCUCUUGGAGCUGUGCUGUGGGGACAAGGUGACGUGAUGUCUUCUAGGAAGUCCGUUUAACUUGCCGAACUAUUCGGUAUAUGGUUGAACUGUUUGUUUUGUCUUUCGGCUAACCAUUCGGUUAUCUCUUUCGGCUUUUUGUUUGGUGACCGUUGACCGCCGUUGUCCGGUCUCACUGCGCUGUUUGUGUUUCAGCCUGCCCGCCAUCAUGACGCUGACCAGGGAGCCGAUUGGCUCGGCUUGGCGGCAGCAGGCUGUUCUUUCGACACUCUUCCGUCUUCUUCGAUAUCAGCCUGUGCUAAUGCAACGGCUAUUCGUGCAGGACUGAUUUUCGGCCUUGUCUCGUUUAAUGACUCGAUCGCUUCCUUUUGACAUUUUGGUUUCGACCUCAUCUUUUGGCUCAUUUCAAUAUAUCUACUUUUAACUCA
RNAcentral lists this long non-coding RNA (5871 nucleotides) under Amphibalanus amphitrite. RNAcentral describes it as "uncharacterized LOC122366626". The record is from RNAcentral. Lineage: Eukaryota; Metazoa; Arthropoda; Thecostraca; Balanomorpha; Balanidae.